CUCGGAUAGUUUUGGUUGAUAGGAAAACUCACAUCCUUGGCUCUUUGCAAAACAUCAAGAUGGCAAGAACUGCCACUUGAGGGCGAGUGGUAAAAGAGGCCUAUAAUCCCAGCACUUGGGAGGCUGAGACAGUAGGAUCGCCGUCAGUUAGAGGCCAGCCUGAACCACAUAGACACACAGUCUCAGAAAAUGCUACCAUUUGUAACCUCAUCUUGGGAAAUCCUUUGAGCAGUUUUUGAGCUGUGGCUAGGUAGAUGAGCAGAUCGGUUUUGAUUUCAAAUUUGGACUACGAAGAAAAAUAUAUACCCUGCAGGUGGUUACACACAAAACCCUGUAAAGAAUAUCUCACUCGCUGCAGCCUGGAUCCUUUCUUCCAUUCUCAAAAGCAGCAUAAACAGCAGGAAAAGGUUUAAUAGCAUUCAUAUUCAAUUUUUAGGACAAUUUAAAUAUCAAAAUGGAAAGUACAAUGUAUUACAUUUUCCAUCUCAUAUCACAUGUAGCAAUUUUGCAAUUUAAAAUACUGUUAGAGGAAAUUACCUGAAAUAGUUUGAUACGCAUUUUAAAUUUCUGAGUGUUUCUCUCUACAUUGGUUUUUGUUUGAUAUACUCGUUACAUAGCCCAAAUAUGCCUCUAACUGCUUCGGGCUGCCAGUGCUGAGAUUAGAAACGUGCGCUACGAAACCCAGGUUUUCUGUAAAUUGUAUUUUAAAAAUUAUCUUUAAACUCUCUCAAACCCAUUUACCUUUGUCAGCAAGCGAACCUGGUACGCUCGCUGCUCGGGAUUUUAAAAUCUAUACUGAAACCCGCGGUUCUUUUGUUCCACUAUGAAAAAAAUGGCCACUUUCUGGACGUUUUACGCAGUAAGGAGAAACGACAUCGAAACCAUGGGCAACAACGGAGAUUAAGUUCUUUCUCUUUCCCCACGCUCAGAGAUCCUUCCAUGAAGAUCUUUGCAGAACAAAAACCGUUCUCAAAAAAACCUUCAAAAUCUGCAUCACAAGUGAAGUUAAAAAGCGUAAUUGUAAAAUUCAAUAAAAACACAAAAUGUUACAAACAUCAGUUUAAGCAAAGAAAAAAUAACAAGUCUGUCGACCAACAAAAAACUCAACCACCAUUAACGAAAAAUUAGAACUCACCAAAAUAAAGAGUUAUUACAGUAACACAACAGUCCCCGUAUUCAAUCACCAUCUCAGCAACAGUCUGUUAUUAACUGACAAAUCGCCAGGGGAGAGCGCGAACGCAGUCCCCCACUACCACAAAUUAUGCAGUCGAGUUUCCCACAUUUGGGGAAAUCGCAGGGGUCAGCACAUCCGGAGUGCAAUGGAUAAGCCUCGCCCUGGGAAAACCACCUUCGUGAUCAUGGUAUCUCCCCUGCCAGGUAAGUAUGAGGCUUGGUCUCGCCGCCCCAACGGAGCCAUCCAC
Molecule: long non-coding RNA, 1421 nt
Filed under: Heterocephalus glaber (naked mole-rat)
Lineage: Eukaryota; Metazoa; Chordata; Mammalia; Rodentia; Bathyergidae
Description: lncRNA (ENSHGLG00000032664.1)
Source: RNAcentral